This 390-nucleotide ribosomal RNA is filed under the name Anopheles somalicus. RNAcentral describes it as "28S ribosomal RNA". The record is from RNAcentral. Lineage: Eukaryota; Metazoa; Arthropoda; Insecta; Diptera; Culicidae.
UUCGGAAAAAGGGACAGCUACUAGAUGGUUCGAUUGGUCUUUCGCCCCUAUGCCCAAUUCUGACAAUCGAUUUGCACGUCAGAAUUGCUUCGGUCCUCCAUCAGGGUUUCCCCUGACUUCAACCUGAUCAGGCAUAGUUCACCAUCUUUCGGGUCGCAUCCUACGCACUCGGGGGAUGCCCGCUGGGUGGCGCACGUGUGACCGCACGCCAGCCCGUACCGGGGCACCCUGGGAUGGAGGGAGGCGUCCGUGGCUUGCGCCAAGCGCGCCCCCGUAAUCCCGCGACGAAACCGUCUCGAGUUGUCUGCGCCUGUGGGGUUCUCGUCUGUGCUGGGUCGGACCCGGGCAGGGUCCGCCCACGCCCAUUGGCUCGCGCGUAAGAUAGACUUC